Molecule: long non-coding RNA, 1519 nt
Filed under: Malus domestica (apple)
Lineage: Eukaryota; Viridiplantae; Streptophyta; Magnoliopsida; Rosales; Rosaceae
Description: long non-coding RNA (MDOM_LNC006756)
Source: RNAcentral
UUUCUCCAUUAGGAGAAGAACGAACUUGAAUAAGAUUUAGUUUGUUGGAUGUUAUCAAUUACCCACAUAUAGGAUAUAUACUUCUAAGACAAUAUGAUUGUCAAUUAUAAGAUCUUCCAAAAUUUUCAUGACUCCAUAGGAUGUAGUUGGAAAGAAAGAUAAAUCUUAAUCAUGUUAAGAUUUGGGGUUGUGUGCUAAUAAGCAAUAUUUGUUUAAAGAAUUAUCUUGUGGGUAUCCUUAAAUUAACAUUUGGAUAUCACUUCUAUAAACCAACUAACAAAUGUUGCUUGUUGGGUAGUUCAUUGUAAUCCUACACUAGGAUUUGCCUAAAAUAGAGCAAAUGAACGAGGGAUAGAACUCAAAGAAUGGGUUCUUUGAGAGACAAGAUAGUGAUCAACAAAUAUAACAACCCAAUUCCUAUACCACAAGCUCCAAGGUAGUCGAGAAUGAUUUAUAAACUGUCUCGGUUGAAUGGUUUGAACUUUAUGAUUAUGUCAUAGAGUCUUAAUUCAAAAGAAAUAAGAAUGAAAAUCCUUAUGACUACAUUGAGUGUAUAUACGACAUAUACUCAAGGAAAUGGUAAAGUACCAUUUGACCCUAAAUAAUGAAACCUUUAUAGCUAAUUGGUAGCUUAAGGUGACUACAAUCAAAGAGAUUAGUUGACUUUGAAGAAACCAUCUUUGACGUAGUCUUGGUUUCAAUUAAUUCGAAGAUUGCUAGCUACAACUAAAUGGUGAUUCAAUGUUUGGACAUAAUAUGGGUUUCCGAAACCAUUAUUAAGAUAGUCUUGAUAAUAUAUGUCUAAAACUAUGAAUCACAAGACAUGUAAGUUGUAGAGAUCCAUCCAUCAUGAAUCUUAGCAAGCUAGUGGGAGCUAUAAGCGUCUUACGAGAGAAAGAUCAAAUCGUUUGAUUUCUCAUAAAGAUGUAAAUAAAUCUUUUGUUUACUAGGUUUACAAAAGAUUAGUGGGAGUUAAUCAUGUUCCUAAAUUUGAAUAUAUAUAUAUAUAUAUAUAUAUAUACACACACACAUAUAUGAUAUAUUAAUUUUGGAAAUGAAAAGAAUACUUCUUCGUUAAACUUAUGACUUUAAAUAUUCUAUAACGAUAGAAUGUAUAUGGGAGACAUAGUCUAUAAACAUGGGAUGGAAAUCUAUAAUGAUAGAUUUCAGGAUAUAAUUGGAUUAUAUCAAGCCCUAAUGAUAGACAAAAGAUGCUAGGAAGUUUUUCAUAUGAUGAUAAACUUCAAUCAGAAGAACAACUCUAAUAAGACUAGGAGGUAGCUCUUCUCAAAGGGAACGUACCCUUUGACUCCCAAAGAAAUAAUGCGCAAAUAGAAUCCUUUAUGUAUACGCAAAAAGGUGAUUUAUGUAUUUCAUAUUGUAUGAAAAACGUUGAUAUGAGUUGUACCAAGAUCGGUACAAGACGAUAUCAAUGCAAGUCCAGGAUCAGAACCAUGGCAACUAUAAAGUGAAUUCUUAAGUAUUUGAGAAAUAAUAAAGGAUGGAUUCCUCAAGAAUG